Molecule: transfer RNA, 84 nt
Filed under: Hartmannibacter diazotrophicus
Lineage: Bacteria; Pseudomonadati; Pseudomonadota; Alphaproteobacteria; Hyphomicrobiales; Pleomorphomonadaceae
Description: tRNA-Leu
Rfam family: tRNA
About the family: Transfer RNA (tRNA) molecules are approximately 80 nucleotides in length. Their secondary structure includes four short double-helical elements and three loops (D, anti-codon, and T loops).
Source: RNAcentral
GCGGGCGUGGUGGAACUGGUAGACACGCUGGAUUUAGGUUCCAGUGGCUUUGCCGUGGGGGUUCAAAUCCCUCCGCCCGCACCA